CCACUCCUACUCUCUCACUUCCUCACAGGUCUGGGCCCUUGCUCGUUUGGAGAUCUCUGAUUCAAUUUCCAAAAGGAAUUUUGGAUGCCUGUCUUCUGAGAAGGCUUCCAUGGCAAUCAAGCUAUGUGUGUGAGCACAGCUCAGGAAGUAGGGCAAAGCAACCAUGAGGACAAAUGGAAGACUGGUCAGGGUGGUUCUGCUGUUUAGACAAAGGCAGUCUCUAAAUUACAAGGACAAGUGAGUUCCUCCCUUCUCCUGCCACACCACAUCCUCAUCUGUGAGGACUCUAGGCUCCAGGCGGCCCCACUACGCAUUGCAGUGGGUUCAACGGCAACAACUCCCUGAGCCUGGUCUAGCUUAGAGCCGCUGGUGUGAAGAGGAUGCACUAAGGGACAAAAGCAACGACUGGACAAAAGUGAAGGAGAGAUAAGCCAGGGGAUAAAACACAGCCUUAGAGAAGGCUUGGGUUCCACUAACUACUCACUGAAGAAGCAUCUUAAAGCCCAGGAACCCAAGGAAACUCUGUACAGGCAUAUGGGUUGAUGCCAGGAGUCUCCCACAAGCCAAUGGUAUCUCACUGAAUUUGAAGACCGGUAUAUCUCAGCAUGGAUUGAUGCCCUGAGGUGCUGAUGAAAGGCCUCAGGGGAAAAACAGCUUCAGCCUGUCCCCACUGGACUGACAGAAAGGAGCAAGGGGAGGGCUUCCUCAUAUAUACCCAU
Mastomys coucha (southern multimammate mouse) is the source of this 719-nucleotide long non-coding RNA. RefSeq lists it as uncharacterized. The record is from RefSeq and is a predicted model, not a curated record. The transcript is spliced from 3 exons. Lineage: Eukaryota; Metazoa; Chordata; Mammalia; Rodentia; Muridae.